ACUGUCCCUAUCUACUAUCUAGCGAAACCACAGCCAAGGGAACGGGCUUGGCAGAACCUGCGGGGAAAGAAGACCCUGUUGAGCUUGACUCUAGUCCGACUCUGUGAAGACACAUGAGAGGUGUAGCAUAAGUGGGAGCCUUGCGAAAUUGAAAUACCACUACUUUUAUCGUUUCUUUACUUAUUCAGUUAAACGGAGAGUGGGGUUUCGGCCCCUUUCUUCUGGAAUCAAGCGCGCGACAUCAGCCGCGCGCGAUCCGCUCUGAAGACGGUGUCAGGCGGGGAGUUUGACUGGGGCGGUACAUCUGUCAAAAGGUAACGCAGGUGUCCUAAGAUGAGCUCAGCGAGGACGGAAACCUCGCGUAGAGCGAAAGGGCAAAAGCUCAUUUGAUUUUGAUUUUCAGUACGAAUACAGACCGUGAAAGCGUGGCCUAUCGAUCCUUUUGAUUUUAGGAGUUUUAAGCAAGAGGUGUCAGAAAAGUUACCACAGGGAUAACUGGCUUGUGGCAGCCAAGCGUUCAUAGCGACGUUG
RNAcentral lists this ribosomal RNA (531 nucleotides) under Amaeana trilobata. RNAcentral's name for it is "eukaryotic LSU rRNA". It matches the Rfam family "Eukaryotic large subunit ribosomal RNA", at positions 2338 to 2865 of the family's 3401-position model. RNAcentral also lists the same sequence under 1 other name. Lineage: Eukaryota; Metazoa; Annelida; Polychaeta; Terebellida; Terebellidae. The record is from RNAcentral.